UUGCUUUCGCAGCACAUACACUAAAAUUGGAACGAUACAGAGAAGAAUGGCCCCUGCGCAAGGAUGACACACAAAUUUGUGAAGCAUUCCAUAUUUUU
This 98-nucleotide small nuclear RNA is filed under the name Balaenoptera musculus (blue whale). Lineage: Eukaryota; Metazoa; Chordata; Mammalia; Artiodactyla; Balaenopteridae. The record is from RNAcentral.